Molecule: ribosomal RNA, 440 nt
Filed under: uncultured bacterium
Lineage: Bacteria
Description: partial 16S ribosomal RNA
Rfam family: Bacterial small subunit ribosomal RNA
Source: RNAcentral
CCUACGGGAGGCAGCAGUAGGGAAUAUUGCUCAAUGGGGGAAACCCUGAAGCAGCAACGCCGCGUGGAGGAUGAAGGUUUUCGGAUUGUAAACUCCUUUUGUUAGAGAAGAUAUUGACGGUAUCUAACGCAUAAGCACCGGCUAACUCCGUGCCAGCAGCCGCUGUAAUACGGAGGGUGCAAGCGUUCCUCGUAAUCACUGGGCGUAAAGAGCGCGUAGGCGGGAUAGCAAGUCAGAUGUGAAAGUCUAUGGCUUAACCAUAGAACUGCAUUUGAAACUGUUAUUCUAGAGUAUGGGAGAGGUAGGUGGAAUUCUUGGUGUAGGGGUAAAAUCCGUAGAGAUCAAGAGGAAUACUCAUUGCGAAGGCGACCUGCUAGAACAUAACUGACGCUGAUGCGCGAAAGCGUGGGGAGCAAACAGGAUUAGAUACCCCAGUAGUC